GAUGAACGCUGGCGGCGUGCCUAACACAUGCAAGUCGAGCGAGGGUUUGCUCAGUAUUGAGUAUUCUAAGUCUAGAAUGUUCAAUUCUGAGCAAAACCAAGCGGCGGACGGGUGAGUAACGCGUGGGUAACCUGCCCUAUACACAUGGAUAACAUACUGAAAAGUUUACUAAUACAUGAUAAUAUAUAUUUGCGGCAUCGCAGAUAUAUCAAAGUGUUAGCGGUAUAGGAUGGACCCGCGUCUGAUUAGCUAGUUGGUGAGAUAACUGCCCACCAAGGCGACGAUCAGUAGCCGACCUGAGAGGGUGAUCGGCCACAUUGGAACUGAGACACGGUCCAAACUCCUACGGGAGGCAGCAGUGGGGAAUAUUGCACAAUGGGCGAAAGCCUGAUGCAGCAACGCCGCGUGAACGAUGAAGGUCUUCGGAUCGUAAAGUUCUGUUGCAGGGGAAGAUAAUGACGGUACCCUGUGAGGAAGCCCCGGCUAACUACGUGCCAGCAGCCGCGGUAAUACGUAGGGGGCUAGCGUUAUCCGGAUUUACUGGGCGUAAAGGGUGCGUAGGUGGUCCUUCAAGUCGGUGGUUAAAGGCUACUGCUCAACCGUAGUAAGCCGCCGAAACUGGAGGACUUGAGUGCAGGGAGAGGAAAGUUGGAAUUUCCCAGUGUAGCGGUGAAAUGCGUAGAUAUUGGGAUGAACACCAGUAGCGAAUGCGGCUUUUCUGGACUGCAACUGACACUGAGGCAUAAUGCUUGGGUAGCAAACUGU
RNAcentral lists this ribosomal RNA (765 nucleotides) under uncultured Peptostreptococcus sp. RNAcentral describes it as "bacterial SSU rRNA". It matches the Rfam family "Bacterial small subunit ribosomal RNA", at positions 28 to 776 of the family's 1533-position model. Lineage: Bacteria; Bacillati; Bacillota; Clostridia; Peptostreptococcales; Peptostreptococcaceae. The record is from RNAcentral.